CUAGACAUAGUAAGAUGAUGCCAGUAUUAUGUACCAGCAAAAUUACUCUACAAUUAGCGGGGACUUGGACUUUACACUAACAAAUGCAAUUCUGGAGGUUCAAAUAGCUAAUGAAAACGAAUUAAGUUGAUUUUGGGUUACAUGAGCAUUUUAGCAUUUUCGAGCAAAAACUACAUUUCUUUCCAUAUAUUUCGUGUGAGAGCUAGUGGUGGACGAAUAGUACAUUUCGAGCAAAUGUAAUAGCAUUUCAAUAAAACUAUGCGAUACUCAUCGAUAUUUUGAAUUUUUGUAGGAUAUCGAUUACACACAAAUAAAAUAAAUAAAUGGCGCCAAAUUCAAAACGAUACAAAAAUUAUACAAAACGUAAUGGUUAUAGCUUAUA
This is a long non-coding RNA of Drosophila innubila, 382 nucleotides long. RefSeq lists it as uncharacterized. The transcript has 2 exons. Lineage: Eukaryota; Metazoa; Arthropoda; Insecta; Diptera; Drosophilidae. The record is from RefSeq and is a predicted model, not a curated record.